UAAGAUUCUGAUUGCAAUGAAUAACUGCUGAGGUUAUUUUCCCACUUUGAGAUUCUGAAAUUCUUCUACAAUAUUGUUUUUCAACUAGUAGCUCAAUUUGAUUUGAUUCUGGUUUGAUAGCUCAGAUCGAAUCAAGUGGAAAGUUGCAGAAGAAACUAUUUUGAUUGACAGUUUGGAGUUACAGUUUUUCUUUCUUUCAGCUGCUUCUCCCUAUAGAGUUUGGGAGUGUCUGAGUAUAACAUUUGUUCUGUGUUUAUGAAGACAGAGAGAAAAGGGAUGUGAGGAAAAACAUCUUUCAAGUUAGCACUAUCAUAUCAUAUUGUAAAGAAACACUGGAAAGAGAAUUCCAUGAAAAAAUGAGUCCAGUCAAGACACUGUAUUCUUAUUAUGGCUGGAAUGAAGCUGGAGAAAACAAAAAGGAGAUGAAGAAUUCUUUCUUUCUGUUGAUUCUGGGUCUGGAAACAUGGUGAACAAUUUCGUGACCAGUUAUUCCAUUAUAUGCAAACAGAAAAGUGAGACAAGGAUUUCCAUUAGAAGCUGAAGUUUUAUUAGAGGAUAACCGUACAUAACAACACAUCUAAAAUCGAUGUGUUCAAUGCACUUUUAAUAAAGGACUCAGUAAAAUAACAAACAGCUGAAUAUAAGCAGACUACUUUAAGAGUGAACUUAAAAGAAGACCCAAUGUAAGUGAAAAUUUAAACAAUCCUCUAAUAAAGAUCAUUAGCAAAGUUUUAGUACAAUACUCUAUUUUUUAGGAUUCUUGUAAAUGGCUUGCAUUUUCAUUGUGGCAGAAAAAAAAGGAGUUUGUACAUACUGUACACAAAGAGACAGCAGAUAUUUAUAGGUACAGUAUUUUUUUUUUUUUUUUUUUGUACUUGCAUGAAUAUUUACAGAAGGCUGAGUCUGGAACUCAGCGAGGUUUGUGAAAUUUGUGUGCUUCAUCCUUAGACCUACACACUUCUGUAAUCAUCAUUUAAUGUGGUAUUUUUAAAUGUUACUUUAAACACUUGGUUGUAGGAGAAAAUAUUAACCAUAAGGCUUGGUAUACUUUAUAAAUACACCUAAACAAUUCCGAAAAACAAUGUUGCAAUCAAGUCAAUUAUUAUUAUAAUUACUUAACCUUUAUUAAAUGCCGACAAUGUGCUGGGCAUUUUAGAGAACAUAGAAAAGAUAAGAUUCCCUGCUCUUAAGCAGCCUAUGAUGUUAAAUGGAGUAAAAAAGGCCUGUAUCUCCUUUUUAAGCUAAAGCAAGAAGGAAUGGCCUCAUGAUUUGUAUUAAAAUGUUGUGUUAUUUUUCCACUAGCCUCUAGCCAAUUGAGUUUUGAAAGGUAAUUAUUAUUAGCAUUCUAGAGAUCAUGAAACCUGCCCACCAUGUGCAAUUGCAUUUAUAUUUAUGAUAACAACAAAUCUUCCGUAAAAAUGGAAAAUGUCUGGGAUUGCGGGUACAAAUGCAAUGCAUGGAAGCCAGGAUCAUGACAUUAGAAUUUAUCACCUUCAGUUACAAAAAGUGCAGUAAACAGAAACAUUUCAUAUAGGUUUAUAAAUUGCUCAAAAAUCUUUGCUAAAGAUCUUAUAAAUUCAGUAAUAUCACAGAACAAUUCUAAUAAAUAUUUAAUAAGGUUUAACUACAUCCUUAGUUAGAUAUUUGAUAUAUUUCUUUCAAGAAUGAACCUGCCAAGGGUUUGGAAGAAUUAUUAGCUCCUCGUCCAAUUGCUAAUUCAAAAUGAACAUUACAUAAUUGACUGAUAACACAAAUUUCAUAUCCAAGUUAAACAUAUCCAAAUGUGAGACCCACACAUUUACUAGAUGACAAACAUAUCCAUCUACCAGUAACUUUUUGUUUGGAAGGUUUGUUCUACCAUCAAGCUACCAACAAUGUUUUCUAAAAUGUCUCUUUUUUUGUAAUUGGUGCGCUAAGUGCACCAGGUGCCAAAUAUAAUUUAUUAUUUAAAAAAAAAAAAAACAAACCUAAAAAUGUAUUGCUUUUGAAACUAGAGUGAGCCUUUAGGUCUUGAAGUUACAGGAAAUUAUUUUUCAUCUUAAGAAAUAUAAUAUUACAAAGCCAGGUUAUAAAACAAAUAAAAAAAAAAGGUGCUAAAUUUUCACAAUCCAUAUUUAUAAGAAAAUUCACUCUAUUGAUGCCAAAUAUCAAUACUAAGGAAGUAAUUUUAUCCCAAUUAAAUACACUGUAGAAUAAUUUAUAUAAUGAUACUAUGUAUUUAAAGAGAAAAGCAUGUCCCAAAUCUAGCACUCUGAUACAGGUACCAGUUGGGUACAGGUAGAUAUAUAGAUAUAUAUAUAUAUGCUAUAUAUAUAUAUAUAUAUGUAUAUAUAUACAAAUAUAUAUAGUUAUACUCAGUGAAAUUAACAAGACCCAAAGGUGGUAUUGUCUAGGAAUAAAAGGGAUUUUUGUUCACAAAAGUAACUUAUCUAGCACCACACAUCAGAAAAACACAAAAAUAGCACACUCUAGUUCUAAACAGCUAUGUCUAAAAUAGAUUAUAUAGUAAAACAGGUAUUAUACAGAAUAAUGUGGUAUUUGAUAAACAGAUAAAUAUUUGCACUGAGUAGGCUGUUUAUAAUAUAACAUUUUCUUAUCUAUACAGAAUGAAAGCCAAAAAGUUAACUGUAUAGAGGUGAGCAGAACAACAUUAAAUAUCAUGACUCAAAAGCAGAGACAAAGAUAAAUUUGAAAGAAGAGUAAGAGAAAAUGUUUACAGGCCAUUACAAGUCCUUAAGUUAGCAGGAAAAUAAGGAAUCAGUUGCUCAAGUUGAAGAAAGCAGUAAACAAGAUUGCAUUUACAUGCAGAUGUCUAAAAUUUGUAUUUUUUUUAAAAUCUAUGCACAAAAAGUCAUUUGUUUUUAUUGCUUGACAUUCAGUUAUGGCUAGAGUAUUUUUAACCUAUUUUUUUUUUUUUUGUACUUUGGAAACAAGAAUAUUGUUAAAGGUGCCAUAAAAAUGGACAACAUUGAAAAUGGUUUGCAAAUAAACCACCUAACACUGCAGUUCUUUAUACAUUUUAAAAGCCUUGUCUGGGGUUUGUCAUAUGUUAAAUAUAUUUAAAUUGGGAAAAUAUGUUGUAGCUUGAAGCCUCCCAUUGGCCCAAACAUCCAAUACAAAAACACAUCUCCACAAAAGGAGCAGGCAGACAAUACAGGUACAUAGAAAGAAGCAGCCAGCUAAUUUCCUAAUGUUAAAAACACUUACCACUGUUUUACAUGUAGAUUGAAACCAAAACAGAAAAGAGAAUUUGGAGUUUAGAAAGAUGUGUACAGUACAUAUGUAUUUUUGUGAAAUAAAAUUCACUAUAUUGCUUAUGAGUUGCUUGCAUUUACUUAUGCAAUCUGUUCAGUGAUAAUCAGCUCCAAAGAAAAUGUAUUAAUCCAUAUUAAGACUGAUUGGGUUAAUGGGUGGGACACAAUUAGAUGAAGUGCACAAAGAACAAUGAAAGCAUAGAACUGUUUCUUGGAGAAUAUCAUGAUAGUGUAUGGAGAAUGCAAUGUGUUCCAUGAAAAGGUUUCAAGGAAUAACAUAUAAAAGUUUAAUGUGGUACAAUAAUUAAAGCAUAACACUAAAUGCAGAUUAGAAAUACUGACUUUUCUAGUCAUCCACUUAAAACAUUCAUAUGCAGUUUCCACAAUGAAUCCAUAGACCAAUACAUUUUAUGUUGAAUUACCCAAAAAAAAAAUAUUUCCUUUAUGGACUAAAUGUAAUUAUUGCUCUAAGUUUUAGAGGUCAGAUUCCUGCCUCAUAAGUGGGUAUAAGGUUCUUGUAAUCUACAAUGGCAGUUUGGUGCUGAAAGAAGUUAUUAAAUGAAGAGCCCAACAAGAGAUGAUGUCACUAAAGAAAAAUUGAAAAGAAACAACUGCUACAUGGAAAUGUUUGGCCAUUCUACAAUGCAGAUAUAGAUGGAGGAAAGACUUUGUGUGUCUUAAAAUAAGUGAUGGAAAUUAACUCAAUAUUCUAAAACUGCUUUAUAAGGCAGGCAUUGAAGGAUAGAAAAACUUCUACAGAUGGAACAUAUCAUAUCUGUCAUAUGUCCCUAUUGUGUUUCUGAGUGGGAGGAUUUAACUUGUAAUAUGUUUUAAAGACAUUCCAUUAUAUUAUAUUUUGACACUACAGUAGUAAAAAAAUUUUUUCUUAACCGAAAUUUAAUAAGUUAUGCAAUACACACACACACACACACACACACACACACACACACACACAUAUACAUAUAUAUGUGUGUAUAUAUCUGUUCCUGAUUCAGUGGAUAGAUGAAGGUCUCAAAAUAUGCUUAUGUUGGAAUAUUUUGUCUAUAAAGUAUUUAAAGCUUUCUUCUGCAUAUUUAUAUCUAUAGCAAAAAAAUGGAAUAGAGGAAA
This is a long non-coding RNA of Sarcophilus harrisii (Tasmanian devil), 4361 nucleotides long. Lineage: Eukaryota; Metazoa; Chordata; Mammalia; Dasyuromorphia; Dasyuridae. The record is from Ensembl.